This 570-nucleotide small RNA is filed under the name Pongo abelii (Sumatran orangutan). RNAcentral describes it as "processed transcript". Lineage: Eukaryota; Metazoa; Chordata; Mammalia; Primates; Hominidae. The record is from RNAcentral.
AUCAAAAGUUAGAAUGCUGCUACAUGGACCCUCUUUGCAAGUUCAGUGCUUAACCUGACCGAACUGGCUGCCCUUCGGCCUGACCUUGGGAAACUGAAAAAGAUUCUGUAUUUUCACGAGAACCAGUUGAUAUAUCCUGUCAAGAAAUGUCAGGAGAGGGAUUUCCAGUAUGGAUACAACCAAAUUCUUUCAUGCCUGGUGGCUGAUGUGGUUGUAUUCAACUCGGUUUUUAAUAUGGAAUCAUUUCUCACUUCCAUUGGAAAAUUUAUGAAGCUGAUUCCUGAUCACAGACCCAAGGAUCUGGAAAGCAUCAUCAGACCCAAGUGCCAAGUUAUUUACUUUCCCAUCAGGUUUCCUGAUGUGAGCAGAUUCAUGCCCAAGCACAAAACAACCCAUUUAAAGAAGAUGCUCGGCCUUAAAGGAAAUGGCGGUGCGGUUCUGUCCAUGGCCCUUCCUUUUCAGCCAGAGCAGAGAGAUUCGGAGGAUUUAUUGAAGAAUUUUAAUUCAGAGUGUGAUACACACUGUGGCCUUGAUACUGCACGACAAGAAUAUUUGGGUAACUCAUUAAGA